This 2114-nucleotide long non-coding RNA is filed under the name Malus domestica (apple). Its description in RNAcentral is "long non-coding RNA (MDOM_LNC003226)". The record is from RNAcentral. Lineage: Eukaryota; Viridiplantae; Streptophyta; Magnoliopsida; Rosales; Rosaceae.
AUCGGCGGGUUUUUCGCCAUUUUCGUCCAAAUUUCCGACGAAUUGAGUCAAGGUACCACUCCUAAUCAUCAUCUAGGCCUUCCCUCUUCACGUUUCACCCCAAGAAUCAUUGAAUUUCGUUGUGAUUUCGCGAAAAAACACCCCUACGGGUGCCGCGACCCUUUUGUUUAAAUUCUCCAAAUUUUUGAAAUGUUUUCUUUCAAUUACUAACACCUUUAGCAUUCCUUUAGGACCUAGAACAAAGCCCAAGAGGUAAUUGAGGCGUUGGAACAAGUUUGAAGGUCGAAUUGGAAACACCCAAAUUCUAGGGUUCUUCACGGUUUUGGUGAAAUUGAAGCACUUCCAGGCCAAAUUGGCAUUGGUCUCAGGUAUGAAAGUUGUUCUACUCAUUGAGAUCUUCAAAUCUGCAAAUUUUGGUAAUUUUUGGAAAUAGUUGAAUUUUCCGGCGAGCCGGGGGCGGCCAACCGCCACCCGCGGCGGCGCGUGGCCAAUGGCCCGCCAAUGUCAUUAUUAGCUUGUGAUUAAGGUUCUAGUUUCUGUUUUGAUAAUUGAUGGACGUAAAUUGAAUAAUUGAACCUAAGUUGGUUACGAUUCGUGGUUAGGUGAAAAUGUGAAUUGACAAUCCGACCGUUGGAUCGUCAUCAAACUUUGAUACGUUGUAAUACGUAAUAUUUGAGGAUUAUAGGAACUUACGGAUUGGGAAUCCGAUAUACGGAUCUUCCGGAAUUGAAGUUGUAAGUUCAUAAAAUAGAAUGUUAACCGUCACUUAGUUUUGGAAAUUGACGGAGAUCCGACCGUUGGAUGGUAAUGAAAUUUUAGGAUGUUGUCCUAGAGGUAUAUUGUGGACCUCUGGAAGUUACGGAUUUGAAAUCUGAAUUGCAGAUCAUCCGGAUCGAACUACGUAGUGACGUGUCUUAUAUAAGUUAUGUAUUCUAUCGGCAGAAUUUCUGAGGUUGGAUUUGAUUGUUGUUCUAGGCGCUAAUCGUCAUGACGCCUUGAUGUACGGUGCUAGGGAGUUGUGGGCGAACUCCAGGUGAGUGGGCAGUUUUGUUUUUGUAUUACCUUUAUACUAUUGAUUUUUCCCAGAAAAUGAAUUUAUAUGAAGAUAUGCUUUAAAAAUGCCAUGCAUAGAAUUAUUUGAAAAUGUGAAUUGUUAUAUGAAUUACAUGAUUGAUAUAUGAUGCAUACAUGUUGCAUGGUGCUGUGGAGGCACAGGUACGUCAGGUGAGUUCAUUAUUCAUUUAAUUGAUUGAUGUUUCGAUGUUUGAGCUCAUAAUCUGCACCCUAGGUGUUAGUGCUUAUAUUAUUCACCACACCGCACGCUCGCCUUGGAUCCAAGUAGGUGGAUGUCGUACAGACCAUGUGAGGGUUCCGACAUGCUAGUCGUACAGAUCACUAGGCGUGAUUCCGACUAGUGGGUGACCUUAGUUAUGCGCGCUGAUGAUUGAUGAGAGAAGCACUAGAGCGUAUUUUUACACCUUUCAUCGUAUAGACUACCUUACGUAGUUCCGAGUGAUGUGCAGAGUAGGGCCGUAUAGGUCACUGUGGUGACUCCGGCUUAGUGAGAUAUUGAGCUAUUGAAUUAAUCGUAUAGGACCAACUGCAGGGUCUCCGAUUGAUUCCUUAUUUCACCUGAUUUAUAUUUUGAUUUAUGGCAUGGCAUGUUUUUCUUGAAAAAUGUUAAAGAUUUGGGAUUCAAGCUUUGAGAUUUCAUAUGGUUAUAUAUAUAUAUAUAUAUAUUUCUGAAAAGUGUUAAAGGUUUGAGAUUUGAGAUUUUUGCUUAUAUAUAUGUUUAUAUAUAUGCUAUUUUCUGGGAAAGUAUACAGGUUUUACGGUGAGGGGUUAGAAAUGUUUUAAAUGAAAAGUUUUCGAAAAACUUUGUUUUACUGACCCACUCAAUUUUGUUUUGCGCCCCUCCAGGUUCAAGUUAGCAGAGCUUUGGUGGCCACGAGGAAUCCAACGGUGUUCUGACAGAAUUCACAAAAGUAGGACUCACCCUCGGGUGUGUUAUCUUAGUAAUUGGAAAUUUUUUUAAAGCUUCCGAACUGUGUAAAUGGUUACGUCACUCUCACGUGACGGCCAGCACGCCCUCCUUCGGGACGGGGUGUGUCAUU